Zingiber officinale is the source of this 107-nucleotide small nucleolar RNA. The record is from RefSeq and is a predicted model, not a curated record. Lineage: Eukaryota; Viridiplantae; Streptophyta; Magnoliopsida; Zingiberales; Zingiberaceae.
AAGCCAUGGUGAGGACAUUGUAAUAACAAUCCCUUGAGUCUUUCCCAAGCUGUAACCAACAAAUCCCCUUCUACUUGUUAAAAUUUAUUGAUUUGACUUCUCAUUCU